Molecule: long non-coding RNA, 1339 nt
Organism: Labeo rohita (rohu)
Lineage: Eukaryota; Metazoa; Chordata; Actinopteri; Cypriniformes; Cyprinidae
Exons: 2
Source: RefSeq, a predicted model, not a curated record
CAGCGACGGACACAAAGCGGAGAAAAGGAUCAGAUGUUCAGAGCGUCAUCGCGCUCGUUUGUGUUUGAACGCAGCUCAUCAGUAAACGCUUGUGUCGUUAAUGCUGAGCAGAUCUCGGCGCUGUUCGGUGGAUUUAUGUCUCCCCGCGGACGCGCGCGGCACGUCGUCCUCCAUCAGCCGCGGCGCUGCACUUCAUUAAACGCGCAUUCUUCUUCUGUGAGCUCAGACGCGCGCGCUGACGCUGGGGACGCGUGUGAUUCGCGCCCGAGGAGCGCCAGCGCGAUAUUUACUGCCGCUGCACCGCAGAAAACAGCACUAAAACAUCAUCGACGAUGACAGACACGAGCCCCAGCGCCGCGGCAGCAGAGCGCAAUUAUCAGACGCGCCGCGGGCACCGGACGCGCCGCUGCAGCAUGAGAGCGUCAAACCACCAGAGACGCGACUGUAAUGAGACGAGAACAAACAGCAGCCCAGGGAGCGUUAGAUCACACUGACCAGACGGGAAAAACACACACGCACAGGACCGGAUCCGUUCACACCUCGCUCUCGGCUCCUUUAUCAUCUCUAUAUGAAGAGUUUGGCCACUAAUUAAUUCUAAUAAUAAUAAAUAUAACUGCAACUAGAUUACCGAGGUUCAAGCGCUUUAAGGCAGUUAGGCAUGUAGCAAGCCUUUUUUUCCCCCCACAUACUGUGCGUUUCCACUGGCAUGUAGGGAGCGGAGCGAGCGUUUUCCAUUCAUUCCUAUGCAUUAUGUGCAUUAUGGGAUUGAAAGCGGCACGGAGAAAGCGUUGAGAGCAGCUGAGAGCGUCAAAAAGGUUUGGCAUUCCUCAACUUCAUGCAAAUCACGAGUGAAAAAAGCCAGAUGGUGGAUUAUUGAGCAGAAAUCACAUAUGAUUAAAAAAGUCAUGCAAAAGUAAAUGCACUUUGCAUGCUUGCAUUAUAUGCCAUGGUGCCCUAGAUAGCAAAUAAAGUGUUUAGUUUGCGAACCGCCGUUAAAAGAAGGAUGUAAACAUUGUUUUCAGAGGCGUGCUCUGCCCUUCAUUUCACACGCCCCAAAGCAGUGGCGUUGUAGUGUUGCCAGCGGCACUGAGCGCAGAUUUGACGCUGUAGUGGAAACACACCGUUAGGCUUUAGAGGAUUUGGGGUGAAUUUUGGACAGGCUCCUUUUCUAAUCAAUCUCAUUAGAGCUUCCCAAAGGGUAAAUUUCAACAUUUUUUUGAUAAUUAUUGACCUAGAGAGUCUGAGAGAACUGCACUGUGGUGGUUUUUCCAGAUUGAGCAGAAAACCUAGGACUUGAUCGACAAACGAUUUGACUGACAGCAGUGGUUCUAGAGGCAAA